AAAAGAAAAUAACCAUUGAUUGCCUUAGUAACGGCGAGUGAAGAGGCAAAAGCUCAAGUUUGGAAGCUCAGUGGUUUAACCACUGCGCAUUGUAAACUGAAAACAGGAUCAAUCAGGUACACCGGGUGAUAAGUUCCUUGGAAUAGGACAUCAUGGAGGGUGAGAAUCCCGUCUUUGACCCGAGUCUAGUAUCUUUUGUAUUGGCCUGUUCAAGAGUCAGGUUGUUUGGGAAUGCAGCCUAAAGCUGGAGGUAAAUCCCUCCUGAAGCUAAAUAAUGGCGAGAGACCGAUAGCGAACAAGUACCGUGAGGGAAAGAUGAAAAGAACUCUGAAGAGAGAGUUAAACAGUACGUGAAAUUGCUUAAAGGGAAGCAUAUAAAGCUAGGAUGCGAUUGUUUUCUUCAGGUUGAGCUUUGGCUUGACUGUUCAGAAGGAUAAUCCGAGACAACAAGAAUUGGAGGAGGAGAAUAAGCUGUUAGGGAAGGUAAUCCUUCGGGAUGUUUAUAGACCUGGCAGUUCGCGCUCUUCUUUCGAUUGAGGUACGCUUUUUUUAAAGGUUGUUGU
RNAcentral lists this ribosomal RNA (563 nucleotides) under Syncephalastrum racemosum. Its description in RNAcentral is "eukaryotic LSU rRNA". It matches the Rfam family "Eukaryotic large subunit ribosomal RNA", at positions 57 to 628 of the family's 3401-position model. Lineage: Eukaryota; Fungi; Mucoromycota; Mucoromycetes; Mucorales; Syncephalastraceae. The record is from RNAcentral.